RNAcentral lists this ribosomal RNA (446 nucleotides) under uncultured bacterium. Its description in RNAcentral is "partial 16S ribosomal RNA". It matches the Rfam family "Bacterial small subunit ribosomal RNA", at positions 338 to 795 of the family's 1533-position model. The record is from RNAcentral.
CCUACGGGAGGCAGCAGUAGGGAAUUUUCGGCAAUGGGGGGAACCCUGAUCGAGCAACGCCGCGUGAACGAAGAAGUUAUUCGUAAUGUAAAGUUCUUUUUACAGGGAAGAAAGAGAAAUUUGACGGUACCUGAAGAAUAAGCUCCGGCUAACUACGUGCCAGCAGCCGCGGUAAUCCGUAGGGAGCGAGCGUUAUCCGGAAUUAUUGGGCGUAAAGGGUGCGUAGAUGGCAUAGUAAGUCUUUUGUAAAAAUGCUGGGCUCAACCCAGUAGGGCAAAAGAUACUGCAAAGCUAGAGUAUGACAGAGGCAAGUGGAACUAGAGGUGUAGCGGUAAAAUGCGUAGAUAUAUGUAAGAACACCAGUGGCGAAGGCGGCUUGCUGGGUCGAUACUGACAUUGAGGCACGAAAGCGUGGGGAGCAAACAGGAUUAGAUACCCCGGUAGUC